Molecule: ribosomal RNA, 358 nt
Filed under: Clostridioides difficile
Lineage: Bacteria; Bacillati; Bacillota; Clostridia; Peptostreptococcales; Peptostreptococcaceae
Description: bacterial LSU rRNA
Rfam family: Bacterial large subunit ribosomal RNA
Source: RNAcentral
GGACAGUAUGGGAGUGAGAAUGUUGGCAUGAGUAGCGAGAUGUGGGUGAGAAUCCCACAGGCCGUAAACCCAAGGUUUCCAGGGGAAGGUUCGUCCGCCCUGGGUUAGUCGGGACCUAAGCUGAGGCCGAAAGGCGUAGGGGAUGGACAACAGGUUGAUAUUCCUGUACUACCGAUAACCGUUUGAGAGAUGGGAUGACACAGUAGGAUAAGCUAAGCACACUGUUGGUUAUGUGUGCCCAAGCAUUGAGGCAGUCAAAGUAGGCAAAUCCGCUUUGAUAAUGCUGGGAUGGGAUGGGGAGCGAAAUUUAGUAGCGAAGUAGCUGAUUUCACACUGUCAAGAAAAGUCUCUAUCGAGG